UUUUGGCUGAGCUUACGGCAGUGCUCAGCCCUGAUCUGAGCUCCCUAUCUCCCUCAUCUGAAAUGAUGAAUCUCUGUUGUUCAUGGUUUUUUUUAAAUGUUGAUUGCUGGCAUCCUGAAAUCUUGAAGCAAGAAGUAAUGUUUCCAGAACCUGAUAGUUAUGAGCCAACCAUAGAAGGAGCUUUACCAACAAAUAAUAUCUGUUCAAUUUUUAUUAAUGGAACCUGCAGACUUGAGUCUAUGGAUAUCUCUGAUUUAGCAUAAAUCAUAUCUUUUCUUUUCACAUACCAGAACUCUAUUGGAAACAACAAUAAUCAUAUUGUACCCUUAAAAAUUGCUAUUACAAUCUGUUGAUUGCUUACAUGAAGUAUCUGUCUCUGGUUGCACAUUUACUUUGUUCU
Non-coding RNA from Arachis ipaensis, 400 nucleotides. The record is from RefSeq and is a predicted model, not a curated record. Lineage: Eukaryota; Viridiplantae; Streptophyta; Magnoliopsida; Fabales; Fabaceae.